GAUGAACGCUGGCGGCGUGCCUAAUACAUGCAAGUCGAGCGAACAGACGAGGAGCUUGCUCCUUCGACGUUAGCGGCGGACGGGUGAGUAACACGUAGGUAACCUACCUAUAAGACUGGGAUAACUUCGGGAAACCGGAGCUAAUACCGGAUAAUAUUUCGAACCGCAUGGUUCGAUAGUGAAAGAUGGCUUUGCUAUCACUUAUAGAUGGACCUGCGCCGUAUUAGCUAGUUGGUAAGGUAACGGCUUACCAAGGCAACGAUACGUAGCCGACCUGAGAGGGGGAUCGGCCACACUGGAACUGAGACACGGUCCAGACUCCUACGGGAGGCAGCAGUAGGGAAUCUUCCGCAAUGGGCGAAAGCCUGACGGAGCAACGCCGCGUGAGUGAUGAAGGUCUUCGGAUCGUAAAACUCUGUUAUUAGGGAAGAACAAACGUGUAAGUAACUGUGCACGUCUUGACGGUACCUAAUCAGAAAGCCACGGCUAACUACGUG
RNAcentral lists this ribosomal RNA (497 nucleotides) under uncultured bacterium. Its description in RNAcentral is "partial 16S ribosomal RNA". It matches the Rfam family "Bacterial small subunit ribosomal RNA", at positions 28 to 507 of the family's 1533-position model. The record is from RNAcentral.